ACACGCCACCACAUUUGGCUAAUUUGUCGUAGAGACGGAGUCUCACUAUGUUGGCCAGGCUGAAUGACUAUAAUUCUUAAGUGAAGGGAACAGAGCCAUGAGCCAGGAAAUGGAGCCCAAACAUAGAGCAGAGAUCUUGUGGGAUGAUGAAACCUAUCAGAUGUUGGGGCUUUUGAAGUGGCUGAAUUUUAUGUGGAAAGUCACCAGAGAGGAAAGAAUGGGGCAGGGAAGGAUCCCCAGGAUUGCAUGCAGGUCAUGUGAUGUCCUGGUUGUACACUAAGCUGCACAUGCACAAGGACACAAGGCAGGACCCUGAGAGCUCAGAGAGGAUAAAUCAGGGGCCGGAGCGAAAGGGAGAGGAGCACUUGGGGGUUGAAUGGAGAAUUCUAGAUUGCACUGCUCCCAGAUAGAGUUCAAGCAGCCAGAACAGAGACCAUGCAUGACUGUUUCUUUAUAUUUCCCAUCGUUACGGUGUUUGUUCUUGUGUAUAGUGUGGGAAACUAAUCCGACUUUUUCAAAUGGCUAUGCCAUUGGAAAAAUAAAUGGCUACAUCAUUUACUUAAAAAUUCCCCUUUUUAGCCCAAUGAUUUGAGAUAUGAACUUUUUAUGAUUUACUAAUUUUCCAUAAUAUUUGGAUUUUAUUUGUGUGCUUGAUUUUAGUUCUAUCUCAUUCAUCUAUUUGUUUAGUCGUGGGCCAUUAUUAUUGUUUUAAUUAUAUAGUCUUUGCAGUUGGCUUAAUAUGUGGUGAUGUUAAUCCCCCUCGUUUCUCUUGAUAGUAUUUUUCUACCCUUGUGAUUAUUUUUCCAUAUGAACUUCAAUAUCAACUUGUCUAGAUCCAAAAACCCAACCAAAAGAAACUACUGUUGUUAUCUCAAUUGGGAUUGCAUUGACUUCAUAUGCUAAAUUACUGGAGAACUGACAUACUGAUGAUAUUGAGGCUUUCUAUCCAAAUGUCUCUACAUCUGUUCAAGCCACUUUUAUGUUUUUUAGAAAUGUUUUACAGUGUUUUUUUGGUGUGUGUGUUGCUGUUUUUUGUAUUUGAGACAGGGUCUUGCACUGUUGCCCAAGCUGGAGUGUAAUGGCAUGAAACAGCAUCCUGCAGCCUCAUCUUCCUGGGCUCAAGCAACCCUCCUGCCUCAGCCUUCCUAGUAGCUGGGACCACAGGUGUGCACCACCACGCCCAGCUAAUUUUUUUUAUUUUUUGUAGAGACAAGGGUCUCACUUUGUUGCCCAGGUUAGUCUCAAACUCCCAGGCUCAAGCAAUCCUCCUGUUUUGGCCUCCCAAAGCAUUGGGAUUACAGGCAUGCACCACAAUUCCUGACCUACAGUUUUCUUCUUAUGGGCUUUGUACAUUUCUUGCCUCCUGGUAUUUUUAAGGAAAUGUAAGAGUGUGAAUCAGGUACUGAUGGUUUUGACUUCAUUAUGAUCAGCAUCUUUGGCUUCCAUCAGAGUAGACACUGAACGUUUUCAUCCAACCGGAUGAUGAGUGCAUUAGAACUACAUAAGAGAUGAAAUCCUUUCUCCCUGGGACAUGCCCUCCGUGGGAGCCCCAGCAAAUCCAGGUGGACGUGGCUGAAAGACAAAAUGCUCAAAACACCACUGUGCUUCUUCUUACACUCUGGGUCAUCAACAGUCUCAUCUACAUCAAGCUUGUGCCAUUUGUUGACACUAUCAAAUAUGGCAGUGUCACCAAGAAUCUCUCCAUAAAAAUGUGUUUAGCUACACCACACAUGGGCAACACAAUUGCUGUCUCUCAUACGAGUGUUAUCACAUUCCAGGACUUAAUUUUUCUGGUUCUCAUGAGUUGAGCCAGUGGCUACUUGGUGAUUUUCCUUCACAGACACCAGAAAAAUAAUCCACAUCUUCACAACAACAGCUGUUCCUCUAUAGCCUCCCAUGAGACCGGAACCAUCACGACUGCGCUGCUGCUUAUGAUUUGCUUCGUUGUAUUUAAUGUGAGCAACUCGUGCCACAGCAUUUACCUAAGUACGGUGAAGAAAAGGGAUCAGUUGUGGACCAUCUCAGAUUUGAUUUCCUCAUGUUACCCCAUUUUUUGGUCCAUUUUUGCUCAUUGGUAGAGAAAGUCUUAUCCUGAAUUCAAAAUCUAUGAAGUAGAGAAAGUCGUCUUAUCCCAUAGAUAUGUCAAAGUAAACUUUCACCAAUAUAAACUUUUUCCAAAACAACAUUCUAUAAAGAGUUGGUAUUCUGAAGAAAUGAUGGGAUUUAGGUCUGAAAAAUGAGAUAUUUCUCAGUUCACUGCAUGAAAUAUAAUCUAAUGACCUUUACCUUCAGUAAAGACAAUAUUGCAUAGCUUAGUAUUUAAUGUUUGUAUACAUAGAUAUAAUCAUUUAAUAGACAAGUAGAUAGAUAAUUUUUCAUGUCAGAUGUUAUAAUGGACUUCUUGCACUAGUCAUUCAAUAUCCAUAUUUUUCUUACUUUAAUUUGUGUUCAGCAUGAAAAAUCAUUUCAAAAGGAGAUCAGGGACUCCAGGAAGCAGAGCGUAACUCCCCACUUCUAAACUGUGGGCUUCACAUAAUGACAUCCUACCAAGAAAUCAGUAUAGCAAAGGAGGAAAAAGAGUAACUUCGCAUUGGAGAAACCUAACAAACACUGUCUCAGCCAGGUGAUCAAGGCCACUGUGAGCAGUGAUCAGUCAAGUCGAAAGUGCAUAUCAUAUGACAGGAUGAGAAUGGCAUUUUACCUCGACAUCUUCCCUCCCAAAACUAAUAAUCCUACUACAUCAGACAAACCUCAGCUGAGAAACAGUUUCCAAAAACACCUGACUAGUACCCCCUAAAACCAUCAAGGUCAUCAAGAACAAUGUAGUCCUGAGAAAUGAUCACAGCCGGGAAGAACCUAAGGACUUGGUGUCCUUUGGUAUCCUGAUAUGGAAUCCUGGAGCAGAAAAGGACAUUAAGUAAAAACCAAGGAAAUAGAAAUAAAGUAUAAACUUAAUAAUAUAUCAAUAUUAAUUCAUUAAUUGUGACAAAUGUAACAUAGUAAUGUAAGACAUUAAAAUGGGGAAAAUUGGGUAUGAUGUGGAGGAGAACUCUGUGUAUUCUAUUUGCAACUCUUCUGUAAAUGUAAACCUAUUUGAAAAUUAAAAAUUUAUUUUUUAAAAAGAAAA
Long non-coding RNA from Homo sapiens (human), 3127 nucleotides. RefSeq lists it as uncharacterized. The transcript has 4 exons. The record is from RefSeq and is a predicted model, not a curated record. Lineage: Eukaryota; Metazoa; Chordata; Mammalia; Primates; Hominidae.